This 375-nucleotide ribosomal RNA is filed under the name uncultured soil bacterium. RNAcentral describes it as "bacterial SSU rRNA". It matches the Rfam family "Bacterial small subunit ribosomal RNA", at positions 26 to 413 of the family's 1533-position model. The record is from RNAcentral.
AGAACGAACGCUGGCGGCAUGCCUAACACAUGCAAGUCGAACGAGACCUUCGGGUCUAGUGGCGCACGGGUGCGUAACGCGUGGGAAUCUGCCCUUGGGUUCGGGAUAACAGUUGGAAACGACUGCUAAUACCGGAUGAUGACUUCGGUCCAAAGAUUUAUCGCCCAGGGAUGAGCCCGCGUAGGAUUAGCUAGUUGGUGAGGUAAAGGCUCACCAAGGCGACGAUCUUAGCUGGUCUGAGAGGAUGAUCAGCCACACGUGGGACUAGGAGACACGGGCCCAGACCUCCGUACGGGAGCGAGCGAGGUGGGGAAUACGUUGGAACAAGUGGGACGAAACGCGUAGCUACCGAGACAAGUCGCCGGCGUGGAGUAG